CAGGAAAGCUCUGGAUAACAGUGGGUCCUGGUCCUGUCCUUGUGUUUCAGAGCCAAAUUCGGAGGCCUCCGUUGGAUUGAGGAACCCACCUGAGAUGGAGCACGCUGUUCCCCCAGAGUAAGAAGAUGCCACACACAGGCGUCCAUCUCUCAGUGUCCCUGAGCCUGCUGCUGCUCUGAGGCAGACAAUGAUCCUAGGUUCCAGCUGGGGAACAUGGGGCGUAGAUUCCCCACCUCUGAGACUUAUGGUGCAGAGGUCUCUGCUGCUGCACCCAAGAAAGAUGCUGCUGCUUUAAGAAGACUGGGCAUCAAAUCUAGAACAAUAAUACCAUCAGGAUUCAAGAGAGUCCUUGUGUGCAAACUGCAUUCACAACCAGCAAUGAGACCUGAUCUCUUUUUCCUCCCUUUUUAUUGCUUUACACAAAUCUAUUGUUUUAUUUUAAGGUUAAAAUAAAAUUUCAAAACAAAGUAAUAAGACAGUAACAUUAGUUAGUGCAUCACCUAUUGUAUCUUCAAAAUAGUUACUCAGAGUACAAGACAGAGUCAAGAGAUACUGUCCAAGCAAAAUAGCACAAAUCUUGCUUUCCAGUGAACUAAAAGAGAAUACUAGUGUGUUAACUGUUUGGGAAAUAAUUUUUUUUCCUUUUCCCUUCUUCUUUUCCUCCUUUCACCCAUCCCAGCUUCUCUUUCCUUUUGAACAGUUUCUUCACAUUUUACAAUAUCAAUUGCACAUUUUAGCCCUCUUUUACUUUCAGCAUCUCCCAUUUGAGAGCCAAUAAGAUGUUUUCAGAUGUGAAUCUGAUUUAUUUCACUUACGAGUGGUCUCAAGUUGCAUCCAUUUACCUAUCAAAGACUCUAUCCUUCUUUAUGGCUGCAGAGUACUCCAUUGUAUGAACAAAAGCCACAUAUCUUGUAUCCAUUCCUUGUUUGGUGGCCAUUUGUGUUAUUUGCAUAUUUGGCCAGUACAGAUGUACUGCAAUAUAAAUGUGGGUGUACUUGUCUCAUUGUG
Molecule: long non-coding RNA, 1008 nt
Filed under: Cavia porcellus (domestic guinea pig)
Lineage: Eukaryota; Metazoa; Chordata; Mammalia; Rodentia; Caviidae
Description: lncRNA (ENSCPOG00000033216.1)
Source: RNAcentral